ACUACGGUGCUGAAGUAACAAAUGCCCUGCUUCCAGGAAAAGCCUCUAAGCAUCAGGUAACAUCAAAUCGUACCCCAAACCGACACAGGUGGUCAGGUAGAGAAUACCAAGGCGCUUGAGAGAACUCGGGUGAAGGAACUAGGCAAAAUGGUGCCGUAACUUCGGGAGAAGGCACGCUGGUGUGUAGGUGAAGUCCCUGCGGAUGGAGCUGAGACCAGUCGAAGAUACCAGCUGGCUGCAACUGUUUAUUAAAAACACAGCACUGUGCAAACACGAAAGUGGACGUAUACGGUGUGACGCCUGCCCGGUGCCGGAAGGUUAAUUGAUGGGGUUAUCCGUAAGGAGAAGCUCUUGAUCGAAGCCCCGGUAAACGGCGGCCGUAACUAUAACGGUCCUAAGGUAGCGAAAUUCCUUGUCGGGUAAGUUCCGACCUGCACGAAUGGCGUAAUGAUGGCCAGGCUGUCUCCACCCGAGACUCAGUGAAAUUGAACUCGCUGUGAAGAUGCAGUGUACCCGCGGCAAGACGGAAAGACCCCGUGAACCUUUACUAUAGCUUGACACUGAACAUUGAGCCUUGAUGUGUAGGAUAGGUGGGAGGCUUUGAAGCGUGGACGCCAGUCUGCGUGGAGCCAACCUUGAAAUACCACCCUUUAAUGUUUGAUGUUCUAACGUUGGCCCCUUAUCGGGGUUGCGGACAGUGUCUGGUGGGUAGUUUGACUGGGGCGGUCUCCUCCCAAAGCGUAACGGAGGAGCACGAAGGUUAGCUAAUCCUGGUCGGACAUCAGGAGGUUAGUGCAAUGGCAUAAGCUAGCUUGACUGCGAGCGUGACGGCGCGAGCAGGUGCGAAAGCAGGUCAUAGUGAUCCGGUGGUUCUGAAUGGAAGGGCCAUCGCUCAACGGAUAAAAGGUACUCCGGGGAUAACAGGCUGAUACCGCCCAAGAGUUCAUAUCGACGGCGGUGUUUGGCACCUCGAUGUCGGCUCAUCACAUCCUGGGGCUGAAGUAGGUCCCAAGGGUAUGGCUGUUCGCCAUUUAAAGUGGUACGCGAGCUGGGUUUAGAACGUCGUGAGACAGUUCGGUCCCUAUCUGCCGUGGGCGCUGGAGAAUUGAGGGGGGCUGCUCCUAGUACGAGAGGACCGGAGUGGACGCAUCACUGGUGUUCGGGUUGUCAUGCCAAUGGCACUGCCCGGUAGCUAAAUGCGGAAGAGAUAAGUGCUGAAAGCAUCUAAGCACGAAACUUGCCCCGAGAUGAGUUCUCCCUGAGACUUUAAGUCUCCUGAAGGAACGUUAAAGACGAUGACGUUGAUAGGCCGGGUGUGUAAGCGCAGCGAUGCGUUGAGCUAACCGGUACUAAUGAACCGUGAGGCUUAACCUU
RNAcentral lists this ribosomal RNA (1374 nucleotides) under Klebsiella pneumoniae. RNAcentral describes it as "bacterial LSU rRNA". It matches the Rfam family "Bacterial large subunit ribosomal RNA", at positions 1576 to 2925 of the family's 2925-position model. Lineage: Bacteria; Pseudomonadati; Pseudomonadota; Gammaproteobacteria; Enterobacterales; Enterobacteriaceae. The record is from RNAcentral.